UUCCGUAGGUGAACCUGCGGAAGGAUCAUUCACACGUAUCCAUCCAAUUCACUGUGAACCUUAUUUGUGAAGCUCUGCUCGAGGAAGGGUUUCUCUUCGCUUUCUGGCGCACUGCUUCGCGGGUAGUGAAUCGGUAUUGGACCGUCUUCCUUUACCGUGAAGCUACCGCUAUUUGUCGAAACUUGCGUGUACGUCAAUUCCGCUCGACUGGUGCUCAGGCACCUGCUUUAGCAUUGAUCACAACUUUCAGCGACGGAUGUCUCGGCUCGAACAACGAUGAAGGGCGCAGCGAAGUGUGAUAAGCAUUGUGAAUUGCAGAAUUCCGUGAACCAAUAGGGAUUUGAACGUAUACUGCGCUUUCGGGAUAUCCCUGAAAGCAUGCCUGCUUCAGUGUCUAUUGAUAUUCAUGCCACUGACGCUUUCCAAUCCUGUUGGUCUCGUCAAGUGUGCGUCUCUGUGUGUCAAGGAGCUUUGCGCUCUUGACGCAUUGAAUACAUAGGCGCGGUCCUCAGCGAUCAAUUUGAAAACCACCUCUGGUGUCUUCUUCUGUUGGUCAGCUGCGGUCUCCGAGCCUAGCGUCUGUCGGUUGUCUCUGAUUUCAUUCAAGACAUGAAGUUAGGUAAGCAAACCCGCUGAAUUUAAGCAUAUCAAUAAGC
Molecule: ribosomal RNA, 656 nt
Filed under: uncultured eukaryote
Lineage: Eukaryota
Description: eukaryotic LSU rRNA
Rfam family: 5.8S ribosomal RNA (bases 242-396)
Source: RNAcentral